RNAcentral lists this ribosomal RNA (412 nucleotides) under uncultured bacterium. RNAcentral describes it as "bacterial SSU rRNA". It matches the Rfam family "Bacterial small subunit ribosomal RNA", at positions 505 to 916 of the family's 1533-position model. The record is from RNAcentral.
GUGCAGCCGCCGCGGUAAUACGGAGGGUGCGAGCGUUAAUCGGAAUUACUGGGCGUAAAGGGCGCGUAGGCGGUCGCGCAAGUCGGGUGUGAAAGCCCCGGGCUCAACCUGGGAAUUGCAUUCGAUACUGCGUAACUAGAGUCUGGUAGAGGGAAGCGGAAUUCCGCAUGUAGCGGUGAAAUGCGUAGAUAUGCGGAGGAACACCAGUGGCGAAGGCGGCUUCCUGGACCAAGACUGACGCUGAGGCGCGAAAGCGUGGGGAGCAAACAGGAUUAGAUACCCUGGUAGUCCACGCCCUAAACGAUGAGGACUAGACGUUGGGGGGAUAAAACCCUUUAGUGUCGCAGCUAACGCGUGAAGUCCUCCGCCUGGGGAGUACGGCCGCAAGGUUGAAACUUAAAUGAAUUGGCGG